This 270-nucleotide ribosomal RNA is filed under the name uncultured bacterium. RNAcentral's name for it is "partial 16S ribosomal RNA". It matches the Rfam family "Bacterial small subunit ribosomal RNA", at positions 88 to 354 of the family's 1533-position model. The record is from RNAcentral.
CCGGCGACCGGCGCACGGGUGAGUAACACGUAUGCAACCUGGCCGUGACAGAUGGAUAACCGGGAGAAAUCCCGCCUAAUACAGCAUGACGCCGGGAAGGGACAUCCCUUUCCGGCCAAAGGGGGCGACUCCGGUCACGGAUGGGCAUGCGGCGCAUUAGGUAGUUGGUGGGGCAACGGCCCACCGAGCCGACGAUGCGUAGGGGUUCUGAGAGGAAGGUCCCCCACAUUGGAACUGAGACACGGUCCAAACUCCUACGGGAGGCAGCAG